Rhopalosiphum padi (bird cherry-oat aphid) is the source of this 1538-nucleotide RNA transcript. It is a transcript of the gene named U5 small nuclear ribonucleoprotein 40 kDa protein, with no coding region annotated. The transcript has 8 exons. The record is from RefSeq and is a predicted model, not a curated record. Lineage: Eukaryota; Metazoa; Arthropoda; Insecta; Hemiptera; Aphididae.
CGACAUUUCAAUAUUCGAUAAUAACUACACUAUGCUAAACGUAAGUCGUAAGUAAACAUUACGUAUAACUGAAAUUGAUUAGCCAUUAACAGGAACAUCAGAAACAGAAGAAUAAGAAACUAUUGAAUUAUUGACCGUAAUGUCCAAAAAAUUUGUAUUGUUUAAUAUUUAUUAUUUAUGUUAUUAAUUCGAAUAUAUUAUAAAAAAAAAUAGUUUACGAGUGAGUCAAAUUUAAAAAAAAGUAUAAAAUGGUAAAGCGCAAGAGCGAAGUAGCUCUGGCUGACACCGAACAGAAUAAAUCAGUCAGAGAAAAGUAUUUGAAGACCGAUAAGUCCAAUGUCCGCACAUCGAGUCUUUAUAUGCCUAUUAUGGCAUUGGAAGGUCACGAUGGUGAUAUAUUUGCCACAAAAUUUCAUCCCGAAGGGGAUUACCUGGCGUCUUCGGGUUAUGACAGAAAAAUUUUCAUAUGGAGUGUGUAUGGCGAAUGUGAAAACUUGGGAGUCCUCACUGGCCAUUCCGGAGCUGUUUUAGAUAUGAAAUUCUCCACUGACGGAACAUUAAUAUACACAAGUAGUACUGAUAUGACUGUUUCUUUUUGGGAUAUUUACAAGGGUCAAAGAGUCAAGAAACUUAAAGGACAUACUGGGUUUGUUAAUUCCUGUGACUCUGCAAGACGUGGACCUCAGAUGAUCACAAGUGCUUCAGAUGAUUGCACCAUAAAAGUAUGGGAUCCUAGAAAACGGGGAGGCGAUGCAGUAACUACAUUUAAUAAUAAUUAUCAAGUGAUGUCUGUAUGCUUUAAUGAUACAGCUGAUCAAGUUAUAACUGGUGGUCUAGAUAACGAAAUAAAAAUUUGGGAUUUACGUAAAAAUGCGUUACUUCAUCGUUUACCUGGCCAUACGGAUACAGUAACUGGACUUGAAUUGUCACCUGAUGGCUGUUAUUUACUAUCUAAUGCAAUGGAUAAUAGUUUGAGAAUAUGGGAUGUGAGACCUUAUGCACCUUCUGAUAGAUGUUUGAAAGUUUUCUCAGGGCAUACUCAUAAUUUUGAAAAGAACUUAUUGCGGUGUGCAUGGUCACCUGACGGUUCAAAAGUGUCAGCGGGCUCAGCUGAUAGAUAUGUGUAUAUUUGGGAUGCAAAUACUCGUAGAAUAUUGUAUAAGUUGCCAGGUCAUAAUGGAAGUGUAAACGAUGUAGAUUUCCAUCCAAAAGAACCAAUAAUUAUGUCUGGAUCCAGUGACAAAGUUGUAUAUCUUGGCGAGUUUGAUUGAAUCCAUUUGAAACUGAACUGACCCUAUUGUAAUUUUAAAUUUAUAUUAAGUUGUAUGCAGAGUACUGUGUCAUCAUUCUUAAUCAUUGUGAACAAUAGCAUCCUUCUUUGGAGUUUUCUUUGAUCCAAGACAAAUAUUUGGCAACUCUUGUGUAUACUCCAGGAAAUCCAGGACGGGCACAUCCGUGACCCCAGCUUACAAUUCCUAAAUGUAACAGAUAUCAUAUCAUUAUACAAUCAUUAUAUACUUUAUGUCGUUUAUACAGCA